This 125-nucleotide small RNA is filed under the name Marmota monax (woodchuck). The record is from RNAcentral. Lineage: Eukaryota; Metazoa; Chordata; Mammalia; Rodentia; Sciuridae.
GCCAGGUGUGGUGGCGUAUACCUGUAAUCCCAGUGGCUCUGGAGGCUGAGACAGGAGGAUAGCAAGUUCUGAGCCAGCCUCAGCGAAAGUGAGGUGCUAAGCAACUCAGUGAGACCCUGUCUCUA